This 439-nucleotide ribosomal RNA is filed under the name uncultured prokaryote. RNAcentral's name for it is "bacterial SSU rRNA". It matches the Rfam family "Bacterial small subunit ribosomal RNA", at positions 355 to 796 of the family's 1533-position model. The record is from RNAcentral.
UCGAGAAUCUUCGGCAAUGGGCGAAAGCCUGACCGAGCAAUGCCGCGUGCGGGAUGAAGGCCCUCGGGUUGUAAACCGUAAAAGUGAGGAGGAAGGGCCCGUGCAGAGCGGGUCUUGACCGAUCCACAGUAAGGACGGGCUAAGUUCGUGCCAGCAGCCGCGGUAACACGAACCGUCCGAACGUUAUUCGGAAUUAUUGGGCUUAAAGGGUGCGUAGGCGGCGCGUUAAGUCGGAUGUGAAAUCCCUCGGCUCAACCGAGGAACUGCGUCCGAUACUGGCGUGCUUGAGGGAGACAGGGGUGAGCGGAACUGAUGGUGGAGCGGUGAAAUGCGUUGAUAUCAUCAGGAACACCGGUGGCGAAAGCGGCUCACUGGGUCUCUUCUGACGCUGAGGCACGAAAGCUAGGGUAGCGAACGGGAUUAGAUACCCCCGUAGUCC